CCUACGGGAGGCAGCAGUGAGGAAUAUUGGACAAUGGGCGCGAGCCUGAAGCAGCCAAGCAGCGUGAAGGAUGAAUGCCCUACGGGUUGUAAACUUCUUUUAUAAAGGAAUAAAGUGAGGUACGUGUGCAUUUUGGUAUGUACUUUCUGAAUAAGGAUCGGGUAACACCGUGCCAGCAGCCGCGGUAAUACGGAGAUUCCGAGCGUUAGCCGGAUUUAGUGGGUUUAAAGGGAGCGUAGAUGGGUUGUUACGUCAGUUGUGAAAGUUUGCGGCUCAACCGUAAAAUUGCAAUUGAGACUGGCAGUCUUGAGUACAGUAGAGGUAGGCAGAAUUCGUGGUGUAGCGGUGAAAUGCUUAGAUAUCACGAGGAACUCCGAUUGCGAAGGCAGCUUACUAAACUGCCACUGACAUUGAUGCUCGAAAGUGUGGGUAUCAAACAGGAUUAGAUACCCGUGUAGUC
This 460-nucleotide ribosomal RNA is filed under the name uncultured bacterium. RNAcentral's name for it is "partial 16S ribosomal RNA". It matches the Rfam family "Bacterial small subunit ribosomal RNA", at positions 338 to 795 of the family's 1533-position model. The record is from RNAcentral.